GGGGGAUAUUGGACAAUGGACGAAAGUCUGAUCCAGCGACGCCGCGUGGAGGAAGAAGUCCUUCGGGAUGUAAACUCAUGAAGAUAACGAAUUAGACGGAAGGGGAACCUUCCGGGAGAAGGUAAUUAGUGAAAAGCCCCGGCUAACUACGUGCCAGCAGCCGCGGUAAUACGUAGGGGGCUAGCGUUAUCCGGAUUUACUGGGCGUAAAGGGUGCGUAGGUGGUUUCUUAAGUCAGGAGUGAAAGGCUACGGCUCAACCGUAGUAAGCUCUUGAAACUGGGAAACUUGAGUGCAGGAGAGGAACGUGGAAUUCCUAGUGUAGCGGUGAAAUGCGUCGAUAUUAGGAGGAACACCAGUAGCGAAGGCGGCUUUCUGGACUGUAACUGACACUGAGGCACGAAAGCGUGGGGAGCAAACA
This 419-nucleotide ribosomal RNA is filed under the name uncultured Eubacteriales bacterium. RNAcentral's name for it is "bacterial SSU rRNA". It matches the Rfam family "Bacterial small subunit ribosomal RNA", at positions 356 to 774 of the family's 1533-position model. The record is from RNAcentral. Lineage: Bacteria; Bacillati; Bacillota; Clostridia; Eubacteriales.